Molecule: long non-coding RNA, 2302 nt
Filed under: Zostera marina
Lineage: Eukaryota; Viridiplantae; Streptophyta; Magnoliopsida; Alismatales; Zosteraceae
Description: long non-coding RNA (ZMAR_LNC003322)
Source: RNAcentral
GUAAAACCCAAUCACCAAACACCGGCACGCGAUUUUCAUUAAGACGGUGACUCCAAACCGACUUCCUCCAUUACAGCACACGAGUUCUUCAUUCCGGCGACGACUUCCUCCAUUCCAGCACGUGAGUUUCUCCAUUCCGGCGGCGACUUCCUCCAUUCCAGCACGCGAGUUCCUCCAUUCAGGUGGCGACUUCCUUCAUUCCGUUCGUCCGUCGACAAGUAUUUUCAUCCUCCAUUCUAGCGCACCAUUUCAUCUCUAUUUUCUAUCUCAUUAAACCCCCAUUUAGAUGGACAUAGAUGGAUAUAGAUCCAUCUUUGUUAAUUUCUUAAAUGUGAUACACAGAUUUCUAAUUUUGAUAAACCCCCAUCAACCAGAUUUAUAAUUUUGAUAAACACCUCUCGAUUUCUCCCCUAAUUCUCGAUUUCUUCCCCAUCACAAUACAAUCCUCAUUUAAAAUAUUUCUCUGUUUAAAACCCAAUCAUAUUUCUCCAAUAUGAUUGGGUAUUUCUCUGUUUAAAAUCAUGUAUUUAAAGUUCUGUUGUUUAAAGUACUGCACUUGUUCUAUUUUAAAUCAUAGGUUCUAUUUUAAUCAAAAGUUAUGUUACUUAAAUCAUGGAUAAAAUCAUGGGUCUUUAUGUUUCUGAUUAUCGAGAAUUUUACUGUGAUUUGAAUGUUUUUUUGCUUUAUUAUAGGUCGUGUUUGUAUUCCUAUAGAUCUCAAUAAUUGUAAGGAUUUUGAUCAAACAUCUGUACCUAGCCUUUCAGAAUUAUUUUUUAAUUUAAUUGAUAUUUGAAAUGGGUUUUCAUAUUGUUUCUCAUUUUAAAAGUUGCUGCAUAUGAUUCUCUUUUCGAUGCCGAUUGCAUUUUUAUAAAUUUCGAAAAGAAAUUUUGUCUGAAUUCUGAAAUUGAACUGUAAUUAUAAUUUUAAAUAAUUUCCCUGUAAAAUAAGAUUCUCUGAUGCUCUGUAAUGUUAGUUUGAUCUUGAGUUCAGAAUUGACAUACCCGAAUUCAGAUUAGAGAACCAUAUCCAAAAAUGUUUCUAGAUUCUCCUCCUCACUGGAUUAUUAAAUUACAUAUAAUUAUCCAUAUUUAUUUAGAUAUAAAUCAUGUAAUUAUUAAACAAAGCAUUUUCAAAAAAACUAAAUACCAACAAAAGUAAUUAUGAAUACCAAUUCUAGAGAAUUAGACAAUUACCCUUAACAAAAAGUUAUAAAAAUAAAACAAGAAACCAAAGGCAAUUAGGCAACCAUUCUUAUUUUUUUAGUUAUCAAGAAACCAAGUACAUUAGAAAAAUAGUGAAAUUUAGUUAUCAAAGUUUCCAACAAUGGAGAAGGUAACUAUGUAAAUAGGUACCUGAUCUUAUCAUUAGGAUUUUGGCAACAUUGUAUUACUCUCUAUUGACAUAUGGUUCUUUUCAUCAUACUCUCUAUAGACAUUACUUUAAAUUAUUACUUGUAUGUCGUAUGUUUAUUUGCAUGUUUAAUUUUAUGUUAUAUAUGUUUCAAUUAUCAUUAAAAACAAAUAGGUCAUGGAAAAAUUUUAAAAAAUUGAAAUAAUUAUUUCGAUUAUUGGCUAAUUAAUUCAAAAUGUAAUUUGAUAUAGUUUAUUCCAAACUCACAGGUGUUGGUGCUAAAGAAGCCAAUACAAACUAAAUUCGAUCUUCAAUAUUUCACCAAAAAUUCGAAGUACGUAAUUUUUGAUUUCUUAUUUCAAUUAUCAUUUUAGUUUAUUAAUCUAAUUUUUUUAAAUGCAUUACUUAAUUAUUGUUUAGUUAAUAUUUUGAAUGUACAAUUUAAAUAAAUUUUUUGAUAUAGCAUAAUGGGAAGGAGAGAGAAACAAAUACCGCGUAGACUUCCAUUUCUGAUACGUGUUCUGGAAGUGCGUCCACAAGUUCCUACUGCACCUGCAACAGUAACUGUACCUGUUGUGCCUCCCUCCAUUUCAGCCAGAUCCAGUGUAUGAUCCGCAUACGGUAGGUCCAUCGAGCUCUCAUCAUCGCCAAUCGUAAUGAGAGUGAAGCAACCAUCUAGGAGGCCCCCGAUGAUGGACCAUCCACUAAGGUCCUUUGGUCCCCGACGAGACAAAUGAGCACCGGCUACGGGAGGUGUAAAAUAUCCACCUGAUUUUCAAUAUUUCUGCGGGUCGAAUUGUUCAGACGCGAAUACUACCAUGCAAGGUCCUUCCUUUGACUGCGAAACCGAAUCUUCGCCGGUUUCCGAUGUUUCGGUUACGUCCAACUAUCUGAACACUAUAGUAAUUUCUAGCGACGAUGAAGUCGGCGAAAACAGCGAUGGGAUGAGUGC